UGACUGAUUUAUCGCAUAUAGAUCGGC
This 27-nucleotide small RNA is filed under the name Bombyx mori (domestic silkworm). RNAcentral's name for it is "ovarian small RNA-31955". Lineage: Eukaryota; Metazoa; Arthropoda; Insecta; Lepidoptera; Bombycidae. The record is from RNAcentral.